CCUUCUUUGCUGGCGACCGGCGCACGGGUGAGUAACACGUAUCCAACCUGCCCUUUACUCGGGGAUAGCCUUUCGAAAGAAAGAUUAAUACCCGAUAGUAUAAUGAUUCCGCAUGGUUUCAUUAUUAAAGGAUUCCGGUAAAGGAUGGGGAUGCGUUCCAUUAGGUUGUUGGUGAGGUAACGGCUCACCAAGCCUUCGAUGGAUAGGGGUUCUGAGAGGAAGGUCCCCCACAUUGGAACUGAGACACGGUCCAA
RNAcentral lists this ribosomal RNA (254 nucleotides) under uncultured bacterium. RNAcentral describes it as "partial 16S ribosomal RNA". It matches the Rfam family "Bacterial small subunit ribosomal RNA", at positions 79 to 334 of the family's 1533-position model. The record is from RNAcentral.